RNAcentral lists this ribosomal RNA (460 nucleotides) under Dichaetomyia luteiventris. RNAcentral describes it as "partial 16S ribosomal RNA". The stretch from base 342 to 460 matches the Rfam family "Bacterial large subunit ribosomal RNA", at positions 2473 to 2591 of the family's 2925-position model. Lineage: Eukaryota; Metazoa; Arthropoda; Insecta; Diptera; Muscidae. The record is from RNAcentral.
AUUAAAUGGCCGCAGUAUUUUAACUGUGCGAAGGUAGCAUAAUCAUUAGUUUUUUAAUUGAAAGCUAGUAUGAAUGAUUGGACGAAAUAUUAACUGUUUCAUAAAAAUUUAUAAUAGAAUUUUAUUUUUUAGUAAAAAAGCUAAAAUUAAUUUAAAAGACGAGAAGACCCUAUAAAUCUUUAUAUUAAAAAUUUUAUUAAAAAUUUGUAGUUUUUAGUAAUAAUUAUUAAUAAUAUUUUAUUGGGGUGAUAUUAAAAUUUAAUAAACUUUUAAUUUUUUGUUACAUAAAUUUAUGAUUUUUUGAUCCAUUAAUAAUGAUUAAAAAUUUAAGUUACUUUAGGGAUAACAGCGUAAUUUUUUUAAAAAGUUCAUAUUGAUAAAAAAUAUUGCGACCUCGAUGUUGGAUUAAGAUAUAAUUUUAGGUGUAGUUGCUUAAAUUUUAAGUCUGUUCGACUUUUAA